GCCUAACAAGGGGAGACAUCCAAUAAGAUUGGAACGAUAUAGAGAAGAUUAGCAUGGCCCCUGUGCAAGGAUAACACGCAAAAAUCGAGAAAUGGCCCAAAUUUUU
This 106-nucleotide small nuclear RNA is filed under the name Eucalyptus grandis. Lineage: Eukaryota; Viridiplantae; Streptophyta; Magnoliopsida; Myrtales; Myrtaceae. The record is from RNAcentral.